UACUAAUACAAUCUGUUUUUACUUUGCUGAGUCUGUUUUUUAUUUGUCGACCGUUUUUAUAAAUAAAUAUUCGAAACAUUAUAAAUAAAUACCCCAAAAACUAUAAAUAAAUAUCUAAAAAAAUCCCAAAAAUUAUAACUAAAUAUUCCUGAAAUUAUAAAUAAAACAAAACUAUUCUAAAUAUUCUAAAAAAAAUAUUCCAAACAUUGUAAAUAAAGAUAUCUUU
Molecule: long non-coding RNA, 226 nt
Filed under: Linum usitatissimum (flax)
Lineage: Eukaryota; Viridiplantae; Streptophyta; Magnoliopsida; Malpighiales; Linaceae
Description: long non-coding RNA (LUSI_LNC004934)
Source: RNAcentral